ACUGGGAUUUCUGGCAGGGUGACUCUGCCCUCUUGAUGAGUGCGCAGCGUUGCCCUACCAUCCUUCUGUUAACCCUUUAGAAUUAAAAAGUCUUUUGGGGGCUCAGAUAUUUUACCUUGAGAAAAUUAGAGUGUUUCAGGCAGGCUAGCGCCGGAAUACAUUAGCAUGGAAUAAUAGAAUAGGACUUUUACCUCUUCUGUUGGUCUGAGGGGUUCAAGUAAUGAUUAAUAGGGAUAGUUGGGGGCAUUAGUACUUUACUGUCAGAGGUGUAAUUCUCGGAUUUGUAAAAGACUAACUUUAUGCGAAAAGUUUUUGCCAAAGGGAUGUUUUUCAUUAAUCAAGAACCAAAAGUUAGGGGGAUCAAAAUACGGAUCCAGAUACCGGUAGGUAGUCUUAACCAUAAAACUUAUGGCCGGACUCGGGGAUCGGGGGGGCGAGAGUUAAUCCGCCCUUCCGCCACCGGUAUGAAAAAAACCAAAAGGCUUUUGGGGUUCCGGGGGGGGAGUAUGGUCCCCAAAG
This 519-nucleotide ribosomal RNA is filed under the name uncultured eukaryote. Its description in RNAcentral is "partial 18S rRNA". It matches the Rfam family "Eukaryotic small subunit ribosomal RNA", at positions 641 to 1135 of the family's 1831-position model. The record is from RNAcentral.